GGAGGAGUACCCAAGUUCGGCUGAAGGGGAUGCACUCGAAAUGCAUUAGGACGGGCAACUGUUGCGUGGGUUCGAAUCCCACCUCCUCCGCCA
Molecule: transfer RNA, 93 nt
Filed under: Paraliobacillus sp. PM-2
Lineage: Bacteria; Bacillati; Bacillota; Bacilli; Caryophanales; Bacillaceae
Description: tRNA-Ser
Rfam family: tRNA
About the family: Transfer RNA (tRNA) molecules are approximately 80 nucleotides in length. Their secondary structure includes four short double-helical elements and three loops (D, anti-codon, and T loops). Further hydrogen bonds mediate the characteristic L-shaped molecular structure. tRNAs have two regions of fundamental functional importance: the anti-codon, which is responsible for specific mRNA codon recognition, and the 3' end, to which the tRNAs corresponding amino acid is attached (by aminoacyl-tRNA synthetases). tRNAs cope with the degeneracy of the genetic code in two manners: having more than one tRNA (with a specific anti-codon) for a particular amino acid; and 'wobble' base-pairing, i.e. permitting non-standard base-pairing at the 3rd anti-codon position.
Source: RNAcentral